UAUAUAUAUAUAUAUAUACCUACAUACAUAUAUAUCUCAUUGUGGACAUGAUGAUUUAUUUAAAUGCAAAAAAACAAAACAAAAAAACUACAUGGAAAGAAAAACUUGAACGUGCUAAUAUUUGGGUUGAAGUCCUUUUGAACUGCCGCCCCACUAAACAGCAUGCAUCUUUAGACAGACACAGCAACAACAGCAGCAGCAGUACAUCAAACAGGAUGUGCUCUCUAAUACAACAUUUUUAGUUGGAAAGACGAAGCUGUAAAUAUGUUUAAAGGUCUUUCCAGAAUUCACAUUUACAGAUUAAAAAGUUGCAGGUUAGAAUGGUACUGUGGUGGCCUUGGUCCCCUCAAACCCAUCCAGGGUCUAGUUGCACAUACUCAUCUUUAACAGUGUCAAUCUUCCAUGCACAUAUGAGGCCACAUAUGACCUCUCUUUAUUUUCCUACUCUAAUGCUAGUUUGUACAAGCACACUAUAGUAGAUUUCAAUCACUUGUUAAAACUAAUUUCAGUGGUUAGAGGGACAAAUAAACGAUCCUUAGAAAUAUAUACAAUAUUUUUGUCAAAUCCUUACAGAGAUUAUAUAGUGUAUAUAAUUACAGAAAAUGCAGACAGGCAGGAAAAACAUACAGAAACAGUAAUUCAGCAAUAGCGUCUUGGUUUUAAACCCUGAUCCGAGUAUUAGGGCACAUUCUAACAGUUCACUUAGGUAAACUUUGGGGCGGCAGAAUAUUUCCCACUAUCUCAGGCUUGGACGGUAGCGAUCCUGUCCUUUUUCAGCUUAAAUUAAGUCCUAUUCCUUUAAAUUGUCGGUGUCUGUUGAAGCUAUGGAGGGAUGGGCGAGUUGGGAGAAUUUGCACUUUUGCUGAUGAAAAGAAUUUGUAUUGUAUAUGAGACCACUAAAUGUGCAUUGUCUAAAUCAUGUAAUUCCAUUUUUCCUCCGGUUUUUGGUUCCAUUUUAUUCUGUUGGGUUUCAAUUUUGUUUUGUUUGUUUAUUUUUAUGAAAUAUAUCCAAAAAUGUCUGGUGUCCUGGUUUAAGAAAUAAGAUCUUUCUAUUAAAAAAAAGAAAAGAAAUGUUUAUGAUUUCUCUGUCUCAGUAUAUUUUAUCAUUGCCAGCAGAUGCUAUUUAAAUAUACACUCACCGUCCACUUAAUUAGGAGCACCUGUAAAUCUGUACAUUCAUGCAAUUAUCUAAUCAGCCAAUCAUGCAGCAGCAGCGCAAUGCAAAAAAAAAAUCAUUCCGACACGGUUCAAGAGCUUCAGUUAAUGUUUACAUCAGACAUCAAUAAAAAUGGUUGUUGGUAACAGAAGGGCUGGUAUGAGUCUGGUCAUUCUCUGAUCAGUCUGAAGUGUUUUAUCCUCCAAACCUCUGCUCACAGGAUUGUUUUUUUUGUUGUUGUUUUCACGCCAUUCUAUAUAAACUCCGGAGACCGUUGUGUAUGAAAAUCUGUUUAUAAAAAAACUCAAACCAGCCCUUCUGGUACCAACAUCCAUGCCAUGAUCCAAGUCACAGAGAUCACACGUCUUCCCAUUCUGAUGUUUGAUUUGAACAUUAACUGAAGCUCUUGACCAGUAUUUGCAUGAUUUUUUUUUUUUUUUGCAUUACGCUGCUGCCACGUGAUUGGCUCAUUAGAUAACUGCAUGAAUGUGCAGGUGUAUAGGUGUUCCUACUAAAGUGGACUGUGAGUGUAAGCUUACAGGUCAGUAAUAGAAGUCAAACAGAUUAAUCAAGCAUACUUGGAAGUGGUAUGGUGGUGUGGUUCCAGAGUUUCUGAUUCGAUCCUGAGAUUGGAUUACUGUCAUAGCUUUUUGUGAGUUUUGCAUAUUCUCCCUAUUCAAUUCUAUAUUAUUUAUGCACUUUUUAUAAUGCCCAUUGUCUCAAAGCAGCUUUACAGAAAUCUGGAUAUGGAUUUACAUUUAAUCCCUAAUGAGCAAGCCAGAGACAAUAGUGGCAAAAACUCCCUGAGAUGACAUGAGGACAUGUUUGUGUGGGUUUCCUCCGGGUUUUCCGAGUUCCUUCCACAACCCAAAAACAUGCCAACAGGUGGACUGGCUAUGCUAAAUUGCCCCAGGUGUGAAUUAAACUAUACAGCCAAAAGUAUGUGGACACCGGACCAUCACACCCAUAUGUAUGUAUUCCCCAAAUUAUUGCCACAAAGUUGGAAACACACAGUUGUAUAGGAUGACUUUGUAUGCUGUAGCAUUACAAUUUUUCUUCACUAGAAUUAAACAUAUUUGGGGCCCAAACAUAUUCCAGUAUGACAAUGCUCCUGCACAAAAUGGGCUCCAUGAACACAGGUUUACCAAGGGUUGUAGUGGAUGAACUUGAGUGGCCUGCACAGACCCCUGACCACAACCUCACUACACACCUCUAGGGAUGAACGGGAACGACAUUUGCACCCCAGGCCUCCUCACCCAACCUCACUAAUGGUCUUGUGGCUGAACGGGUAAAUCCCCAAUGCCAUGCUCCAAGAGCUAAUGGAAAGCUUUUAUAGAAGAGUGGACCUUAUUGUAACAGCAAAGGGGGAUUAAAUCUGAAAUGGGAUGUUCAAAACCACAUACAGUCCCCUCCUACAGUACUGAAACGGCUAUACUCCGAAGAUAUUUGAGUUUGAGAUCAAAAAAUGAAAAUGAGACGAUAGACCAGAAUUUCUCCUUUCACUUCCUGAUUUUAACAUCUGUUAAACAACUUAGAACGUGGCAACUUUGGUAGCAGACCACCCAAUUUUUAGGUGUGCAAACAUAUAAAAACAGAUAGCCUGAAAGUAAAUUAAAGUACAUAACACUUAAUAUUUGGUUGCAUACCCCUAGCUUGCAAUAACUGCAUCAAGCCGCUGACCCACUGACAUCACCAAACUGUUGCGUUCUUCUUUUGUGAUGCUUUUCCAGGCUUUUACUGCAGUUAUUGUUGUUGUUUUUUGUUUGGAGGGUUUCUCCCUUCAGUCUUCUCUUCAGGAGAUAAAACGCUGCUCAAUUGGGUUAAGGUCUGGUGAUUGACUUGGCCAGUAUAAAACCUUCCACUUUUUCUCGUUGAUGAAGUCCUUUGAUGUGUUGGUAGUGUCUCUGAAUCAUUGUCUUACUUCAUGAUGAAGUUCCUCCUAUUUAGAUUGGAUGCAUUUCUCUGUAAACUAGCAGACAAAAUGUUCCUGUAAACUUCUGAAUUCAUUCUGCUGCUACUAUCAUCAAUAAAGAUUAGUGAGGCUGUUCCAGAAGCAGCCAUGACACUACCUCCACUGUGCUUGAAUGAUGAGCUUGUACAUUUUGGAUCAUGACCAGAUCCUUUUCUUUCUCCACACUUUGGCCUUUCCAUCACUUUGGUAGAGGUUAAUCUUGGUUCCAGAACUUUCGUGGUUCAUCUGUUUUUUUUGUUUGUUUUUUUUUUUAAAUUCCAAUCUGGCUUUCUGAUUCUUACUGCUGAUGAGUGAGUGGCCUCUAUAUUUAUUUAAGUCUUCUUUGACGGGUGGAUUGUGAUACCUUCAGCCCUGCCCUGUGGCAGUUGUUGGUGAUGUCACUGAAUGUUGUUGGUUUUUCUUCACAGCUCUCACAAUGUUUCCGUCAUCAAUUGUGGUUGUUUUUCUUAGCCAACCUGUUCCAUGUCUGAUUGUUACCAUGGGUGUUCUCUAAACUGUUAAUCAUCCAGGGCUGAGUGCAGAUUCUUCUCCAUCAAAAAAUACUUUUAAAAACAUACUUCUACAUAGAACGUUUUCAUGCAUCAAGGACUAAUUGCUUUAAAAAUGUGAAAAUUGGACAAAAAGUUGGAUUCAUCAUAAAACGUGCCUCAGGUGUCAUCACUGAUUGCAGGACUACCAGACCGAUAAAAUCUAAAACUUUCUGGCUAUCUAAUUCAAAACAUUUAGAUGUAAUUAUCAGAGAAUUAAAGCUGAAAUUCUUAUCUAUUGUCUCAUAUUCCUCUUUUGAUCUCACACCCAAAUGUCUUCCAUGUAUAGCAAAGUAAAAGAAUUAGGCUUGUUGUUCCAAUACUUUUGGAGGAGACUGUAUGAGUGACAGGUAAGAUGGUCAUGUGUAUACAAACCUUUGUUUUGUUUUGUUUUUUGUUUUGUUUUUUACAUAUGUGUGACUGCGAUGGAUUGUAUUCAGAGUGUAUUCCUACCUCACAUCCAAUGUCCCCAAGACAGGCUCCAGCUCCACCACAACCCUGACCAGCACGGAGCAGUUACAGAAGACUGAAGAUGAAAACAGAAAGUAAGAACACAGUUUGAUACCCAAUGCACUUCUUCUGCCACAAGAUGGCGCCAAACCAUCAAAUUCAGAUCCAAUUACAUCUUGCAAAGAAGUUCUUGGCAUGAAAUGGAAAAGCUAUAUUUAUUAUUUAUUAUUUUCCAAAUGAGUGAUACAGAGAUAUGCCUACACAAGAGGAUCUCUAACUCAAGGGUUGCAGCCAGGAAGCUGUUUUGUU
Long non-coding RNA from Ictalurus punctatus (channel catfish), 4414 nucleotides. The record is from Ensembl. NCBI's taxonomy places the organism in Eukaryota, Metazoa, Chordata, Actinopteri, Siluriformes, Ictaluridae.